RNAcentral lists this ribosomal RNA (630 nucleotides) under uncultured bacterium. RNAcentral describes it as "bacterial SSU rRNA". The stretch from base 1 to 543 matches the Rfam family "Bacterial small subunit ribosomal RNA", at positions 338 to 873 of the family's 1533-position model. The record is from RNAcentral.
CCUACGGGAGGCAGCAGUGGGGAAUUUUGGACAAUGGGCGCAAGCCUGAUCCAGCCAUGCCGCGUGUGGGAAGAAGGCCUUCGGGUUGUAAACCACUUUUGUCAGGGAAGAAACGGUCUGGUCUAAUAAACCGGACUAAUGACGGUACCUGAAGAAUAAGCACCGGCUAACUACGUGCCAGCAGCCGCGGUAAUACGUAGGGUGCAAGCGUUAAUCGGAAUUACUGGGCGUAAAGCGUGCGCAGGCGGCUUUGCAAGACAGAUGUGAAAUCCCCGGGCUCAACCUGGGAACUGCAUUUGUGACUGCAAGGCUAGAGUACGGCAGAGGGGGGAUGGAAUUCCGCGUGUAGCAGUGAAAUGCGUAGAUAUGCGGAGGAACACCGAUGGCGAAGGCAAUCCCCUGGGCCUGUACUGACGCUCAUGCACGAAAGCGUGGGGAGCAAACAGGAUUAGAUACCCUGGUAGUCCACGCCCUAAACGAUGUCAACUGGUUGUUGGGAGGGUUUCUUCUCAGUAACGAAGCUAACGCGUGAGUUCGACCGCGUGGGGAGGUACGGCCGCGAGGUAGUAAACGUUAAAGUAAGUUAGACGGCGUGAGACGUGCCGACGGACGACGACGAGGGAGGUUAGG